RNAcentral lists this ribosomal RNA (500 nucleotides) under uncultured bacterium. RNAcentral's name for it is "partial 16S ribosomal RNA". It matches the Rfam family "Bacterial small subunit ribosomal RNA", at positions 30 to 523 of the family's 1533-position model. The record is from RNAcentral.
AUUGAACGCUGGCGGAAUGCUUUACACAUGCAAGUCGAACGGCAGCACGGACUUCGGUCUGGUGGCGAGUGGCGAACGGGUGAGUAAUGUAUCGGAACGUGCCCAGUCGUGGGGGAUAACGUAGGGAAAAUUACGCUAAUACCGCAUACGAGCUAUGGAUGAAAGCGGGGGAUCGCAAGACCUCGCGCGAUUGGAGCGGCCGAUAUCAGAUUAGGUAGUUGGUGGGGUGAAGGCCCACCAAGCCAACGAUCUGUAGCUGGUCUGAGUGGACGAGCAGCCACCCUGGAACUGAGACACGGUCCAGACUCCUACGGGAGGCCGCAGUGGGGAAUUUUGGACAAUGGGCGAAAGCCUGAUCCAGCCAUUCCGCGUGCAGGAUGAAGGCCCUCGGGUUGUAAACUGCUUUUGUACAGAACGAAAAGGUUUCUACUAAUACUAGGAGCUCAUGACGGUACUGUAAGAAUAAGCACCGGCUAACUACGUGCCAGCCGCCGCCGUAA